CCAUCUUCACUUCACAUGCAACAACAAGACUCCAACAUUUCGUAAAAUACUAGAAAGGAAAAUUAAAAAAACCUAACCCCCAUGUGAAACAUGUAGAUACCCAUCUAUACCUUAUCAACUGUUUAAACACGUCUGAUAGACUUCCUUACAUUUCAACCACCCCAGAAUAAGUAAUUAAAAUGAUAGAAUAUCUUGUGGUGCAUGCCCUAAAGCUGAAGGACAUCUCACAUGCAAUGAACCCACCACCACCCUUUACCAGUACGCAAUACCAAGC
This 274-nucleotide long non-coding RNA is filed under the name Ricinus communis (castor bean). RNAcentral describes it as "long non-coding RNA (RCOM_LNC001718)". The record is from RNAcentral. Lineage: Eukaryota; Viridiplantae; Streptophyta; Magnoliopsida; Malpighiales; Euphorbiaceae.